This 18362-nucleotide long non-coding RNA is filed under the name Gossypium raimondii (Peruvian cotton). RNAcentral describes it as "long non-coding RNA (GRAI_LNC007132)". The record is from RNAcentral. Lineage: Eukaryota; Viridiplantae; Streptophyta; Magnoliopsida; Malvales; Malvaceae.
AUUCUGGGAGACAUUCGUGUUCCGAAUUUGGUCAAGGAAGUUAAUCAUAGCAUCUGUAUCGGUCAUUGCGGGCAACGUUAUCAAGGAAGCAUUCAGUCCACCCUCGCUGUUUGUAUAUUGAAAAAUGCCAGUAGUGAUGUUGUCAACAGGUGCAGCAGAGGAAUCAGAGAAAGGCCUAAUAGCCAUGUAAUAUUGGCCAACGUUUCGAUUGGCAGAGACCAAAACAUCCAUGGUUUGGCCAGGGCUUAUCAAUAUAUAGUCCCUCGUAAACCUUCGAACAUAGGAGGCAUCUUGUGCGACGACUGUGAGGGUGUGGUUCGCUAUGGUGAAGAAAAAAUGUUCGUUCAUUGCAGCGUUAAUUAUGCGGAGAAGGUAUAUCUUCUCAGAAUCAACUAGCAUACGGAAUAUUGUAUCUGCAACAACCAACUAUAGGCUCUUAGUAUAAGGGAUCCAAAGGCCGAGAAACUCAAUCCGGUUUCGGUAAUGCUAGAACAUACCAUUGGGGCAUCCAUAUGUGUCUCCUACGUGUCCAUUGAUAGCAUAAGCAUUUGGUUGGCGAGGAGAGACACCGGCGGCAAGUGCGUCAUCAAUAAUUUGCUUGUAGUCCCCAUCGUACCAUGAUUCUGUAAAUGCAUUAAAAAAAUCAAAUUAAGAUGCGUAUAAUUAUACACAAGUAACACAACCGAAGAAUCAAAAUAUAUGCUUACCAAGUAUGAUAGUUUGAUCGGCGUCUGGCGUGGGGAACGGGUAAGUUUCAUUCUCGGCAGGCAAAAUGAUGAAGGCUCCGUGGACGGAACCACGAGUCCAGUCACUGUGUGCGUGCCACCACAGGGUUCCUAUUUCAUCCGAUAAUACGAUUUCAUAGGUGAAGUUAGUCCCUGGUUGGAUGGGGCACUGCGUUAUGAACUCGGGACCAUCGGACCAUGGAUUCCUCGGUUGUUUCACACCGUGCCUGCAACAUGUUUAAUUUGAUUUAAUCACUUCUGAUUUCAAUUCUUUGGGAAAUUACGACUGUAAGAAUGAAAGAAAGGUUAUAGUUACCAGUGAAUGGUGAAGCCGUAGUUUCCUUGAUUGUGGACAUUAACGAAGACAGUAUCACAUCUGUGAACCCGAAUCUGUGGCCCUGGAUAGCUGUCGUUUACGACCAGCAAUGUGGUUGUGUUGCACAGCUUCGUAAAGUUUGACUCUAGCACCUGCAGUCAAAUCUCAACACUAAUAUUAAACUGUAAAGGAAAAAAAGCCACUGCCAUGAUUAGUCUUCAAUCUCAGGCGCUUAGCCAUGUUUUAAGGAGACAUUUCUACCAUUACUCGGUAAUAGUUAAAGCAAGGAUGUUGUAUCAGACCUGAACGUUUUGGGUUUAAAACAGAGAAGGGAAACGUAAUUUAUGAUCAGGUGAGUAAAUUACGUAGGUUGAAUAUGAGGUUUAAGAUUAUCCAUAGGAAACAACUAUGACAUGAAAGAAAGGGUACUCACAAAGAAUUCAUAGUGAUGUACAUCUGCACAGGAAAGGAGCAAAGUUCUUAGAAAUAAAACCCCUGCAAACCAUGUCACUAAACCUUGCUGUAAACCCAUUUCCCCCCCCUCUAAUGUGUUGUCAGUUCGCCCCUGAAUUUUCUCAUCUUUGGGUCAGCCAUUUAUGGGAAAGGCAGCAAGUGCUCCUUAGGUUUGUUUCUUUGAAAGUCAACGAAAAUUGCAUUUUCCAGUCAAAAGUUACACUUCAAACAUGUUUCUAGUUUUUGUUUUUAUUUCUUUUUCUCAUGUCAUGUUGGAUUUUUUUUAAUACAUAUUUUUAAUUUUAUGUCCAAGUUAGACCAUGUAAUAUUAAGUUGAUAAUAGUUUGUUGAUGUUAGUUAAAAUGUUUAAAAUUGUUGAUGCAAAUCCAAGGUUGGAUGGCAGCUUCCUCACUGCUCUGCUCGUUUAAUAAUAUUUUACGUGUUGGAUGUGUAUGUGCACGCAUUUUUUGACGGUGAAAAUUUUAUAUGAGAUUAAAUUAAGCAUAUGAAAUUGUGAAAUCAACGAGAUGACUUUACAACAAUUAAGGUCGGUCUUAUUAAAUUAAAAGUGGGUGUAUCUAUUAUGGAAGUAAACCACUUAGUUUUAACUUCUUAUAUGAGUAUUGUUAUUUACGUGAAAAGAUUUGAAUUUAAUUUUAAAUAAUUUAAUUAACUAUCUUUGAAAAAAAACCUACUAAACAUAUUACCCACAACUUUUUUUCUUAAUGGAAAUCCAGGAAAAGGAAAAGAUAUUCUGAAAUGUUGACAAAAAAAAAAUCAUCACAAUUCACAACUUUAUCAGCAAAUUUUACUUUAAAAAAAAAACAUUAUCAACAAAUUUUAACCUUUUAUAUUCAUUCACUAAUUUUUUUUCAUUAAUGAAUUUAUAAACGGUCGAAAUUUAAAAGAAUUAUUUAAUUCCUUUUAAACUUUUUACAUUCAAUUGAGUCAUGCACUAAUAAAAUCGACUGAAUAGGCUCUUUAACUAACGUCGGUCGUUAGUAUUUACUGACAAUACUAACAUGGCUACUAACAAGCAUCCCAUAAAAAAUAUAAAAAAUUAUUUGAAAAUUAUUUUUUAUUUUUUAAAUAAGUACAUAAUCAAUCUAAACAAAUGGUUGUCCAUGUUUAUUUAAAUCUCAACUCUCAUUUAUCUAAAUUCAUUUUAAAAUUAUAAAAAUCAUUAAAAUUGAUUAAAAAUUAUAAUAUUAUUAGAAAUCAAUUAAACCCAUAAAAUUUAUUAAAAAAACAAUUUACUAAAAACCAUAAAAAUAAUUAAAAAUAAUUUAUAAAAGUUGUUAGUGUUAUAAAAUAAAAAGAGACGGAGAAAAUAAAGAUCAAAAAAAAAAAUGAAAGCAAUAAAGAAUGUACUUUAUUGAUCAAAUGGAUGAUUACAAUGCUUCAUCGGAGUCUCUAUUUAUAGGCAUAAGAAGUAUAAAAGAAGUAAUGGACAUUCACUUAAUAAGAUAUUCAUAACACUCCCCCUUGGAUGUCCAUUGGUAGAUAAUGUGCCUCGUUAAAAUCUUAUUAGGAAAAAUCCUAUGGGAUAAAAACCUAAUGAAGGAAAAAGAGUACACAAUCUUCUAUUACAAGUUGCCUCAUUAAAAACCUUUACCAGAAAAACCCAAUGGGACAAAACCUUGGUUAAAGGAAAAGAGUACAACUUGUUUUAGACUCCCCCUAAUGGCAACAUUACGUUACAUCUUUGAGUUGUCACAUUCCAAUAUUAUGUGGUAGUCUUUCAAAUCUUGAAGUUGGCAAUGCCUUAGUAAAAAGGUAUGCUAAAUUAUCACUAGAACAAAUUUGUUGAACAUUUAUAUCACCUCUUUUCUCAAGAUCAUGAGUGAAGAAUAAUUUUGGCAAAAUAUGUUUCGUUUUAUCACCUUUGAUGUAACCACCUUUCAAUUGAGCUAUACAUGUUGCAUUAUCUUCAUAUAAGAUGGUUUGCAUCUUUUCCUAUAAAGGAAAAUUAUAUAUCUUCUGUAUAUCUUGGGUCAAUAACCAUAGCCAAACACACUCUCGACUUGUCUCAUAUAUUGCAAUUAUUUCUACAUGAUUUGAAGAAGUAGCAGUUAAUGUUUGCUUUGUCGAACGCCAUGAUAUGGUAGUACCUCCACAUGUAAAUAAAUAUCCUAUUUGAGAUUGACCUUUAUGGGGAUCUGAUAAGUAUCCAACAUCAGCAUAGCCAACUAAUAGGGAUUUUGAAUCAUUUGAAUAAAAUAACCUCAUAUCAAUAGUCCUUCUGAAAUAUCUAAAUAUUUAAUUUCAUUCCAAUGUCUACAUGUUGGAGAAGAACUAAAUCUUCCUAACAAGUUUACAGCGAAAGCUAUAUCAGGUCUUGUGUUGUUUGUAAGAUACAUCAUUGCCCCUAUAGCACUUAGAUAUAUUACUUCAGGACCAAGAAACUCUUCAUCAUUCUCGCAAGGAAAAAAUUGAUCUUUAUUCACAUGUAACGAUCAUACAACCAUUGGAGUACUUAAUUGGUUGCUUUAUCCAUGUAAAAUUUCUAUAAUAUCUUUUCUAAAUAAGUUGAUUAAUGAACAUGAAUUUUAUCUUUUAAAUGCUCGAUUUGUAAGCUAAUAUAAAACUUUGUUUUUCCAAGAUCUUUUAUUUCAAUUUCUUUCUUUAAACAAUUUAUUGUAUUUUGAAGCUCUUCAGGAGUUCCAAUAAUAUUUAGAUCAUCAACAUAAACAACAAUUAUCACAAAAUCUUAUCCAAACCUUUUUAUAAAGACACAUAGACAAAUUGGAUCAUUUUUGUAUCAUUCUUUUAACAAGUAUUCACUAAAAUGAUUGUACCGCAUACAUCUAGAUUGUUUUAAUCUAUAUAAACUUUUCUUUAAUCUGAUUGAACAAUUUUUUCAAGAAACUCUAUAUCUUUCUGGGAUUUUAAAUCCUUCUGGGAUUUUCAUAUAAAUUUCACUAUCAAGUGUACCAUAUAAAUAGGAUGUAACAACAUCCAUUAGAUGCAUGUCAAGUUUUGCACGUACUGUGAGACUAAUAAUAUAUCUAAACGUGGUUACAUCCACCACAGGAGAAUAUGUCUCUUCAUAAUCAAUGCCGGGCCUUUGCGAAAAUCCUUGUGCUACAAGUCGAGCUUUAUAUCUUACGACUUCAUCAAUUUCAUUUUAUUUUCACACAAAUACCCAUUUAUAUCCUACCGGCUUUACACCUUUAGGGGUUUAGACUACAGGUCCAAAAAACUUCACGUUUAGAAAGUGAAUUCAAUUCUGCUUGAAUUGCAUCUUUUCAUUUUGGCCAAUCUUUUCUAUUUUUUACAUUUCUUAGUAGAUUUAGGCUCAGGAUCCUCAUUUUCUUUUGUUAUUUCAAUAGCAACAUUAUAAGCAAAAUUGUUGUCAACAGCUACAUUUUGUUUUUGUUCCAUGUUUUUCUCGUAUUGACAUAACUUAUUGAGAUUUCUUUAUUUUCAUCAUUUCCAUUUUCACUCUUAGGUACCUGAAUCUCUUCUUGAGUUUUAUAAUUAGUCAUGUCAUGGGUCUCUUCAGGAACCCCCGCCUCCACUAUAUGACCAUCUUGAAUGUUUGCUCCCCUUUUUUUAUGAUGAUUUUUAUCUUUGGAACUGAUUGGUCUUCCACGCUUCAUGCAUGGAUUACUUUCUUUUGCAUUAACAAUUUUCCCUAUUAGGACAUCAAUUCGUAUUGGAGCAUUUUCAGUUAGUAUGUGAGAUUUAAUGAAUCUGACGAUUGAUUUGUAAAAUGAAUUAUCUGUUGAACUUCUGGUUCACAUUGCUCUGUACAAGGAUCUUAGACAUUGAUAAUUCAUUUCAAGUACUUUAUUAAUCCAACUUUUUAUCCUCUUCCCUUAAUAUUGAGAAAACUGACAACUCAUGUCAUAACUAGAUAUCAAAUUAAUAGCUCAAAAAUAUUAUAAGGAGACUCAUAUAAAUAUACAUUCUCAAUCUCUUAUUAUGACCCAUCUUCGUGCUUUGUGGUGGAGCAGUUGGGACAUAUACCGCACAUCCAAAAAUUGUAAGAUGGGAAAUAUUUGGCUCUUGACAAAAAAUCAAUUGUAAUGGGGAGUAUUUAUAAUUUAUUGGCUUGAUGCGUACAACAUGUAAAUCAAUACAAUCUCAUGAUAAAAUAUAAAAUGUUUUGCUCUCAUAAGUAAUGAUUUAGCUAUUAGUUGGAGGCAUUUCAUAAACAAUUUAGCUAAAUCAUUUUGUGUGUGAACAUGAGCUACAGGAUGUUUAACUUUUAUCCCAAUUAACAUGCAAUAAUCAUUAAAAACUUGGGAUGUAAACUCACCAACGUUAGCAAGAUGAAUUGUUUUAAUUGCAUAAUUUGAAAUUAAUCUUUUAAACAAGAAAUCUUGCAAACAACAGGUUGCAAGUUGAUAACGCAUGUGAUUAUUUUGUAGAUGCAUCUAUCAAAAUCAUAUAAUAUCAAAAUCAUCCACAUGGUGGAUGAGUGGACCCAUAUUCAUUUCAGAAAUGCAAGACAUUAAAUCUCACCUAUAACAAGUGAGUUUUUAAGAAUCAAUUUUCAUUGAGAAUAAGCAACAAAUAAGAAUUCUUUAAAUUAAAGAAUCUUCUGGUUUUUUAAUGAAUGUCCAAAUGAAUUAUCAAUUAAUUUUAGCAUCAUAUAUGAUUCAUGAUGGUCUAACUGGUCACGCCAAGUAGUAAAUGUUUUUGUAUCAGUAAACUUCUGGUUUACUUUAACAUGUGUUUCAAUUGUACUAAAUUGUAACAAAUUGAUAAUUUUAUUAUCAUUUCUUUUAAUUUGUAUCCACAUAUAAGUACUAUUGUGACAUUUACUACUAAAAAUGUCCAAAUCAAUGUGAAGUCUAUAAUGUCACUAAGUCAAUAAAUAUAAUUUUCUAAUAAUUAUAUGCAAAAUUCGCUUCAGGGAAUAGCAAAUUUUGUGGUUUUUAGAUAUUAAUAUAUUAGCUCUUCUGGAGCUUUCAACUUACUUUGUACUACCAAAUAUUUGAAUAAUAUUUGUUUGUUUCAGUACCAAAUAAGAUAAAUAUUUCUAUUUAUAAUGAUAAAAUUCAUUACUACAUUCUCAUAUCAUUCCUCAAAGAAUAUUAACAAAAACAAAAUAUUUGGCCAUAAGCCACAUGUGUGGCUAAUAAUAUUUCAUAUCACAUUGAUAACAUAAGUUAUCUUUACCCUUUGAAGAGUUAUCAUGAGAACUCUUAUUGUUCUCUUAUUUAUUAUUAUGUUCCCACUUUUAGUGGUCUAUGAGUAUAUCUUUUAUUUUCUUUAUGUGUAUAUUCACUUUGGGGAAUGCAACAAAUCUGGUAGGACGGACUUCUAAACGCCUCUAUUGAUUUUUUAUUUCAUAAUCACCAUCGUAAACAUACGUGAAUUUUAAAUAAAAAUCUAUUCAUUCAUGUUUUCAUGAUUAUUCUCCAAUUAUAGUAAAUAUGAUAUAAUAAAUAAAACAUAGUAAAAUAUACCUGAAGAUCUUUAACAUCAUCUUCAUCACCUUGACUAUUAUCACGGGCAUCAAUUCUGAGAUUGAAUCUUUCAACAUCCUGAAGAUUGAUUUGUGGGACGACUUCAAAAGAUUUUGAAAAAAUAGAGAAUCAUCGUGCUAAUAACAUGUUAUGAAAUAAAGAGAGGCGGAGAGAAUAAAAAACAAAGAAAAUAUGAAAGCAAUAAAGAAUGUACUUUAUUGCUCAAAGGGAUGAUUACAAUGCUUCAUCAGAGUCUCUAUUUAUAGGCAUAAGAAGUAUAAAAGAAGUAGAGAUCUAAUUCUAAUAACUAUUAAAAUUUAAAGUACAUCAAAACUUUAUCUUGAUCAUGAUGGACAUCCACUUAAUAAAAUAUUCAUAACAAUUAGAAAUUAAUUAAAUACGAAUGUUUUAAUAAUAAAUGUAAUAUAAAUAUGAAUAUUUUAAUUAUCUAAAUAUAAGUAUUUGUUUAAGUUAUGCUUAGCUUCAUUUAUCUAUUUCAACUCAAAUGUCUCACUAGCCACUCUCAUAUAUGUAAUAUAUAUACAUAUAUAUAAGUUUUAAUUAGACAUUGUUUAUUAUUAAGUUUAUAUAUGAUAUUUAUUAUUAUAAAAUAUUGCAUUAUUAUAAAAUAAAUUUCAAUUGUCAAAAGGAAAAGCUACCAUAAGUCUAUAAUAUUUUGUAGCAAAUAUAUUAAUGUUGCGUUCAUUUUAAUAAAAACAACUUUUAAAAAAUAAUUUCAAGAAAAUUUAUCAAAUAAUAGAAAAUAUUUUAUGCAUAAUCAUUCAAACACCAAAAAAUAUUAACUUUUUCAGAAAAUAAAACUAUUUUUUAAAAAUCAUUUCCUUUUCGCCAAAAUCAUUUGUUUAUCAUAUAGUAAAUGAAAUAUUUAAUUAGUGAAACUAUAAAAUCUAUUAGAUAAGUUAAUACUAACGUGGAGACGAAAUAUUUAAAAGUAUGAUAAUUUUUGGAAAUUAACCCGUAUAAACGACAAAAUAGAAAAAGUAGAGAAGAUCGAAUAUAAAGAAAACUCCUCAGAAGAGAAAAAAACCACGGGCAAAGGAGGCUUCGACUUUUCACUAAAUGAGUAAAUAAACGAGAGUACAAUAUGGAGACAAUAAACCUAAAUGUACUAAAUGUACAAACCCAAACCCCAAAAAUAAAACCCUAACUUGGGAAUAAAUUCUCUCAAUAGUUACCACGAAACUCUCACAAAAAACUCAUAUGCGACUACAUCUUGUCGCCCUCAAAGAAAAGCCCUAGCUGAUUGGCAUGUCAAAACAGAGAUACAAUGACCAUUUUAAAUAGGCUUACAUUAGAGUUCUAAUCAUACUAAAGCAUCCCUGGAAUAAUUAGUGUAAGACCCUUAACCUGAAUCCAUCGCUGGAACAGGGUUACAGAGCAUUACCAGAAUUUACAGAUCAAAUAAUAGAUAUUCCACAUCAUACAGUAUUCAUAUCAGAAAUCAAUCAUAAAGUCUCUUAUGUGAACCCUCGAGAUCCAAAUCAUUCAUUUGAAAUGAGUCGGGACUAAACCAGGUACUCAAAGAAUUUUUCGCAAAAUCUCAAAAUUUUUCCUAGGUGCAAGGGUCACAAGCCCGUGUGGUCAGGCCGUGUGACACGCCCGUGUCUCAAGCCGUGUAACUCUCUAACUUGGGUCACACGGCCAAGUCACACGCCCAUGUCUAGGCCAUGUGAAGAUGCAAGGGUCACACGGCCAAAUCACACGCCUGUGUGCCAGGCUGUGUGAAAAUACCUAGGCAUUUUGUUUUGAAAUUUUAAAGAUGCAAGGAACACACGGGUAGGUCACACGCCCAUGUGCUAGGCCGUGUGUCACACACGGAUAAGACACACAGUCGUAUCUUUCCCCGUGUGAACUAAAAUAUGCUAUUUUCCAAGUCACAUUUCUCACCCAACUUGUCUUCCACCUACACCAACACUUAAACACAUUCACAAACCAUAUCAAAGUAUUUAAAACAAGUCCAAAUCAUGUCUUAAACAUGACAUAAUAUCACAUACAACCAAUAUACUCUUAUGUACCUCAAAUGACAAUUUAUUAUCGUGUUAAUCUAUCAUUUAUACUUACCUAUUUACCAAAUGCAUAUAUGUAUGAUCACAUUUAUUCUUCAAACAAAAUAGAUCCACUUAUAAAUAUAUCAAAAUAUGUCAAACACAAGCCAUUCUAAUGGCUAGUUUCAUUGAAAACAUUUACAUAUCAAUAUUAGCCAAUUAACCUAUACAUGUCAUUAUAACCAUAAUUGAUUUACCAUAUAUACCAAAAUGGGCCGAUGGAUAGUGUGAGUGAUAUUCGCCAAGCUUCCAAUCCAACGAGCUUCCGAAUUACUAUAGAACAGGGAAAAUUAAAACAGAGUAAGCAUGAAAUGCUUAGUAAGUUCUUAUAACAUGGUAAUUAACUUACCGCUCAUUUAAAUUCAAGAUAAAUCUACAAGGCACAUUCAAUCAAUUUGAUCAUGAGCCCUAACACAUAUCCUAAUCACCCUUGUUAGCCAUAUAUUUCAUAUAAAUAUCAAAAAACAUGUAUGGGCUCAACAAUAAUUAGACUUCUAUGUACAUAUACUUUCCACAUCAUGUAUUCAUAUAACAUAUACAAAUCAUAUCCCUAUAUUUUACGUACAUUUUCAUAAUAAUUGGUCUCGAGUUCAAAUUAUUUCAUGUUAAAACUUUGCCCAUUAAAUCAUUUGAAAUAUUAAUGUCACAUGGGUAGUACACUCGAGGUGUACAAUUAUACAAUCAUGGAUGAACAUAUUUAUCAAACAAAUUCCAUGUUCAUAUAUCAUCAUCUCAUAUUUUCAUAUAUCAUGUACCAUCAUUUUCAUGUAUUUCAGGCAAAUACGUGUAAUAAUUUAUUUCGCAUUCAUAUUUUCUCAUGUUAGGAUUUUUUCUGUUGAAUCACUGAAAACAUCGAUGGGUACACAAGUAGUACACUCGAAGUGUACAAAUAAAAAAUCCACCAAUUCAUAUUCGGAGAUGCUCAUUCAAGCACAUGAUCGGGAAAUCCUCUCUUGAGCCAUAUAACAGGAAACUCACAAAGAGCCAUUAAUUAGGAAGCUUAUCUGGGCUAUAUAAUGGGAAGCCCAUAAGAGCUACAAUCAGGAAGUUCACAAAGAACUUUUAAUCAAGAAGCUCAGAAGAGCCUUUAAACAAGAAGCUCACGAAGAGCCUUUAAUCAGGAGCUCCGGAUAGCCAUAUGUUGGAAGUUCAAGCAACCAUAUCAGGAAGCUCUGGAGAGCCAUAUAACAAUAUGCUCAUAAAGAGCUAUGGUAUGUCCGCAACACAUGUAGGAUUACUACCGAUCAUAUAAUAAGACGCUCACAAAGAGUUGCGGUAUGUCCGCAACACAUGCAGGAUCACUACCGAUUGGGAUGCUCGCAGGAACCAUAUAACAGGAAGCUCGAGAGGGCUUAUAACGGGAUGCUCGUAAGAACUAUGGUGUGUUUGCAACAUAUGCAGGACUACAACCAAUUCAGGAAAUCCUGUAUCCACAGAAUUUCAUUAUUCAAACGGGAUUUAAUAUUUAUCAGGCUUUGUUUGAUAUGUAAUCAAUUUCAUGUAUAUGACUUUAUACAAUUCACAUACACAACAUUCAAUUCAAGCAUAUAAAUAUACAUAAUUUAGUUACACGAACUUACCGCAACAAAUGUUUAUGUACGUAAAAUCUACUAAUCUGACACUUUCUCUUUUCCUUGUUCUAACUCCGAAUUUGGUCUAUCCGGAUCUAUAUGAAUAAAUUUAACAUCAAUUCAUGUUCAUUUCAUGUUCAUUUCAAUUCAAUUCACAGCUUAGGAAAAAUUAUAAUUUUGCCCCUAAACUUUUAAUUAAUGAUGAUUUCGUCCCUAGACUUGGAAAAUGAAAUUUAUGCAAUUUAAUCCUUAUUCCAAGCCUAGCCGAUUUUCACAUGUAAAAAUUACAGCCCAUGUAUUUCAUAAAAUUCAGAAUUUUUCCAUGAAUUUUUACAUCUUUUGAAUUUAGUCCCUAAAUUAAUUUUUCGUCAAAUUUUCCUUUACAAAAGUUGUUUGUCUAUCAACAACCUUUCAUUUUCUACCAUAAAACUUCAUAAUUCAUGCAUACUCAUCCAUGGCAAAAACCUAGUACUUUGAUAACUUUACAAAUUAGUCCCCGAGAUAGCUAAAUUAAGCUAUUACGAUCUUGAAAAUAUGAAAAUUACUAAAAACGGGACUUGAAUACUUACUCUCUUAACUAGGGUUUCCAUGUUUUAUUUGGGAAAGAUGAUGAUAAAAUGAUGAUAUUUUUUUAUAAUUUAUCAUCUUUUAAAAUUUCACUUUCCAAUUUCAUCAUUUUAUUUAAUUAAUUUUCCAUGGAUGAAUCAUCAUCCUUAACCACUAAGCAUUUUUAAUGGUCUAUUUGCCAUAUAAGGACCUCAAAUUGUAAUACCCCAAAAAAUUUUACACUAAGAUAUUAUCUUUGAUAUAAUAAAUAAGAAAAUAAAGCUACAAAAAGGGGAAAUUUUGGAGUUAUGUCAACAUUGGGAAGUAUAUUAUGACAUAUUAGUUCAAGAAAGGAUUAAAUCACAAAAGUGAGAAAAGUUCUGUUACCUAAGAGUAAAUACUCAAAAAUUAAAGGGUUAAAGUGUAAAUAUAAAAAGUUGAAGGACAAAUGGUGUAAAUAUUUUAAAGGUGGAAUGAUCUAGAAACUAAGGAAAAUGGAUAGAUUAGGACCAAAUUGAAAAAGGUGAAGAAUUUUAAGGGACUAAAUUGUAAUUUUACCAAAUUAAGUGAUGACUCAAGGAUAGAAUUUUAAAAGAUCAUGAAGGGCAAAAUGGUCAAUUAGAAGAGAGAGAAAUCUAGAAGAUAAUGAUGAUGUUGGAGAUAUUUUAGGUUAAAUAAAUAAAUAUUAGUUUAUUAGUAUUUUAAUUUGAUUUUAAAAUGAUAUUUUAUUAUUUUAUUAUUUUAUUAUUUAGUAUAUAUAUAUGUGGAAAGAAAGAUGAAAAGGAACGAACCCACCAUCUUUUCCACGAAAUUCACGUUAGAAGAGAAGAGAAGAAAGAAAGUUUUACUUUCUUUACAAUUUAGUCCUUCCACCAAAAAUUCACUAUUUUCACUUAGAAAUCAAAAGAAUUUCCAUAGCUUCCAAGAGAGAAAAAUAAUAAGGAGACAAUGGGGAGCUAGAAUAUCAAGUUAGAUUCAAGAAAUAGAAGCUGGAGGAGAGAGAAAAUUAAGUUAAAGAUUGAAGUCAAUAGCAUAAGUUAAGUACAUCAAGAUUUUAAUAUAUUUUUAAUUUUGAUAUUAUUGAAAAAGUAUGAAAAUGAUGUUAAUGUAAAGUUUUUGUAUAUAUGGUCCUAUGUUCUUGAUAUGUUAGUGAAAAGAAAAUAAGAGAAAGUGAUGAGAAAUAGUGUAGAGAAAGAAAAUAAGGGUGUUAUAAACAUGGUAAUAAACAUCCUGUAUUAAAACAGUUUUUGACAGCAACAGUAGGCUCACUUUGAAAAAUCACCAUAAAUUAUGAAAAUAAAAUUAGAUUAUGAAUGGGAUUAAAGCUUAUUGAGUCUAGUUUCUCAUGGAAGAAACGAUGUAAGUAAUAGAUUUGUAAAUUAUGAGAUAUAAUAAAUUUUGUGAGACAAGGUCAGAAUGAAUUCGGGUUCCCUUGUUCUGACUUGGAAAAAUCAUUAAAAAUUGUACAAAAAUAAUUAUGGGUUACAAUUUAUAUUUUUAAAAUCCUUAAUGAUUCUAUUUUCAAUAGAAACAAACAGAGACAUCAUUUGAGUUCUGUACAAAGAGAUAAUUAAUUUUUAGUGAAGAAGGGUCGGAAAUGUCAGACAACAGAAUAGAGGUAACUUUAAAGAAUAAACUGUACUUAUUUGCUAAAAAAAAAAUUAUGAAAAUGUUAUGUAAGAAGAUAUGUGAGUCUAGUUUCAGGGAAAAUUAGCGGAUCCUAAUUUGGAGUUAUGUAGCUCAAGAUAAAAAUAAAUUAGUGACUAUGACUCAAAUAGAUAGUUUUGAAUAAAUUUACAAGUAAAUUGUGAAAUCAUAUAUAUAUAAUGGUACUUGUAAGAAUGUUAUCUAAAUUAUGGAUGUGGAAUGGAGAGGAGGAGGAGGAAAAAUAUAUAUAUGAAUAUUCAAUUAGCAUGGAUAAUUUGCACGUUUUAGACUCAGGGACUAAAUUGAAUAAAAGUAAUAUUUAAAAGGAAAAUAUAUAAAAAAGUAAAAAAGUGACCAAAUUGCAUGAAAUGAAUUGUUUUAUUACUUAAAUUAAUAAAUUGAAAGAAAUAUUAAUUUAGAUCAAGAUUGGGUGGGAAUUCAAGGAAAAUGAAAAAUUACCAAAAUGUCCCUAAAUUUUGGUAUUUCUACAAUUUAGCCCGGUAAGUUCGUGUGACUUGAAUUAUAUUCCUAAAUGCUUGAAAUGUUUGUUAUUGAUGUGAAUAUGAUUUGGAUGUUUAUUGUAUGAUAAUUGAUGAAGUAUUGGUAUUCUUGAUGAAAAGAGAAAAUAAAUCCCGGUUAAAUGAAAGGAAAAUUCGAUGGAUCUCUAAAAAUGAAUUGACAGUAAAAAGGAUCUAGCCCGGACGGGUGAUCCUAUUCUGAUAUAGCCCUCCCGAAGAAAAUGUGGAAAAUGGAUUUAGCCCGGACGGGUAAUCCGAAUUAGGGUCUGAAUUUAGCCUGGACUGGUAAUUCAGAUCCAAGCUUAUUAGAGUAAUUGUCGUUGCAGGGGAUUUAGCCUGGACUGGUAAUCCCGCUGUAAGGAUGAGGUUCGCGGGAGUGUGCUCUCUAAAAUGGAAAUGUGCGCACAUGAAUAUGAAUUGACGGACCCGAAAUUGUACACUAAAAGUGUACAUCUUAAAAUCCAUCGAAUUUCUGAAAAAUUCAACAGGACAAAUAUGGGAAAAUAAUAAGGGUAAUAGAAAACAUGGAAUUGAAUUUUUAUUGGAAAUAUAAUAUCGAAUUUAAUACUCAAUUUGGAUUGAACGCGGGAUCGAGUACAAUCAUUCUGUGGCAAAGGGUGAAUUGACGAAUAAAAUCAUAACUGGGUUAUGGCACUAUGAAUGUAAGACCAUGGUCAGACUAUGGUAGUGUUUAUAUAUGCAAGACCAUAGUUGGAAUAUGGCACCAAAGAACGAUGUACUCAUAUCCGUAAGUCGUUAUUUGAUUCAGAAAGAAACGGUAAAAGACUUAAGUGAUUGAAUUGAAAGAUUUAUAGAUUAGUAUUGGUAUUGAUCUGAAAUAAAUGUAAUCAUUGAUAUUUAAAUGAUAUAACGGGUAAAGUUUUGAAGUGAGAUAACACGAAUUUGAAAUGAAUUAUUACUGGUAUGUACAAAAUUCAUGAAAAUGAUGGUACAUGAAAUAUCGAAAUAAUGAAAUGAAUGAUAUAUGUCUAUGAAGAAACGACAAGAGAAUGAUAUGUAUCAUGACAUGUAAAUGUACAAUUGUCUUUAAUAUGUUGAUACAAGAAAAUCAUGCAUGGUGAGUUUAUAUGUAAUGUGCGCAAGUACACUAACCAGUAUUCUUGCUUGAUGCUUAGGCAAGUGCCCAGCUAUUGGUUGCAUGGUAUUAUGAUUAUUUAUAUAAUGCAAUUGAAAAGUAUUUAAGUGAAAAUAUGCUAGCACUCACUAAAGAGUGGUAAGGUUUAGGUUAUACAAUUUCUUAUGAAAUGACUUAUCAUGUGAUCAAUUCGAAAAAGACUGUGGAUUUAUUCACCUCAUGAGUUGAUGAAUAUAGCUUCAUGAGUAUUAUGGUAUUAAUAUCGGAUUAUUCUUGAUAUGUAUAGAUUUCAUAUUUUAGAUGAACUAAUAUGAUUAAAAAUUUCACGAGCUUACUAAGCAUUCAUUGCUUACGUAUUUAUUUUUAAUUACCCUAAGAUUAUAGAAAGCUCGAUUUGGUUGGAAGCUUGUCAGAGAUAUAUCAUACUAUUCAUUGGUUCUAUCGGUAAUUUUGGAUGAUUUGCUUUUUGGUUAAAAUGGCAUGUAUAAGUUAAUUUGGCCAAAUUGGCUCAUAAAUAUUUUAAUUUGGUUAGUUUCAAAUAUGAGUGUUAGAUGAAAUGAAAUGUCUGAAAAUAAAUUUGUAAAUUUUGGUAAUGCUCCGUAACCCUGUUUCGGCGACAGAUUCGGGUUAGGGGUGUUGCACAAAUUUUAAAUUUCAUAGCUAUUUAAUCCCUUUAGCUAUUAGAACUCAACUUUUGCACUUUGUGCAAUUUGGUCCUUUAUCAAAUUAAACUUAUAAUCGGUAAAAUUCCUUUACGAAAUUUUCAUACGAUAUUAUUAUUGUACUGUAGAUCAUAAAAUAAUAUUAAAAUAAAUUUUCCUUUCGGAAUCGGAUUUGUGGUCCCGAAACCACUAUUCCGAUUUUACCAAAAACGGGCUGUUACAAUCAGAGUCCAAUUGAGAGAAUCAAUCCUGUUUGAAGUCUAAAAUGAGGCUGCCAAAUAGGAGAACACGUCAUGACGUGAAAGGUUAUUUUAAAAAUCAUGUUUAAAAAUAUUUAAAAAUCAUGUUUUCCUUCAACAUGACCUGAAAGGUUAUUUUAAAAUAUUUGUAGAAUGCUGAUACAAUAUAUAUAUAUAUAUAUAUAUAUAUAGUGUCAUAAUGCUAUAAAUUCAAAUUUUUAAUGUAAUGCUUUUGAAAUGUAAUUUUUUUGGUAAUACAAAAGUUUCUUUUAUAAGGUUGAAUAUUUUUUUUUAAAAAUUAUUUAUUUCAUACAUUACGUGCAUAUAAAAUGUGGGAAACAUAUGUGAUAAUUAAAAAUAAAAUAAAACCACUAUCAUAUGAAUAAUAUUAAUAUUAAUUAUAUAUAUGCGUGUAUUAUUUUAGAAAUAAUUUAAAAAAUUAUGGCUUUUUACAUAAGUAAAUUAAUUUAAUUUUUUAUAUAUUCAAAGGGUAAUGAAAUUUGCAUUAAAAUUUUAUAUUAAAAUUAAAGUGGAAAUGAAUGCAGCCAAAUCUUUAGAAUUAUUAAAUUAAUGACUAUUCAAAAAAUAAUUAGUUAAUAAUUUACAAUAAAAAAAAUUUUAUUGUAGAGUUAGAAAAGAUAAUAAGAUAGUAAUUAUUAAGUAAAUAAUGAUUUACUUAAGAUUAAGUAGUAAAAAUGUAGUUUCAAAAAUAUAGAUUAAGUAGUAAAAACAAUUGUGGAAUAAAUCCUUUUUAUUAAAGAUUAAAUAGAUGGUUUAAAACUUUCUACAUCUUGGUUUUGAUAAAUGGAUCAUUUGUGAUAAAUGGAUCAAAUGUUACUUGAUUUUGAUAAAUGGAUCACAACCAAUCAUUUGUGAGAUUGCUUGCUUAAGUAAUUAUUAAAUUAAGAGUUAAACCAAAUAAUUAAAGUAAAUGAUAUGUGUUAUAUAUAAAACAUAAAAACUAGAUUACUGUUUCAUUAAACGUAGAAAAAUAACAGUGGAAUAUAAAAUAAUAGUUGGUGAGAUGGGAAGACCACGUCGGAUGCCCAUUUGUCCUUAUCUUUCCUAUCCUUUCACAAACAAAACCAAUGACGGCUAUUCCAUAUAUCAUUCGUGAAUCACCAUAUAUUCUUUAAUUGGGAUAAAUUGAUUUAUCAUUCAAAUACUUAUAUAUUUUUAUUUAAUCAUACAUAUUUUAAAAAAUAAAUAUCUUAAUUUAUUUUUAUACUUGAUUUAAUUAUUAGUUUUGUAAUAAAAUCAUUUUGUGAAAAUUGAAUUAAAUCAAUAUUUUAUAUAUAAAAUUACACAAAAUUAAAAUUUAUAUAUAAAAUUACAUUGAAAGUCAAAAUCUAUAUCUAACUUUGAGAUUUAUUUCUAUUUAAUUCAAUAAAGUUUUUUUUAGAUUAAAAACAAUUUAAACUUCUUUUCUAAUUACACACCUGCUAAAAAAAUUGGUGAGCAAGAUAACAUUACACAAAGAAGGAUGAGAGGAAUUUUAUUACUAGAAAAGUGAAAACUCCUCUGCCCUUUUAGUGCUCAUGUUGUGUCUACCUAAUCAUUUUCCAACACGUGAGUAAUAUAUUUUUGAAUUUAACUCAAUCUUGAGAUUAAAUUUUAGUAGUAUUCGGUUUGCAAUUAAAAUUAAAAAUAAAGGAAUCAGUGCAUGAGAAUGUGGGUUUAAGUGCGCUGAAACGCAUUAUCCUCAUAAUAUUUGAUAUUUUUAUAGACAAGAAGAACAAAUCAAAGGCAGAUCGGAUAAAAUCUACGCUUUCCCUUCUUUCAUUGUUUUUGCUUGAUUUGCUAUCAUUGAAGCUGUGUUUUUAUAGACUAUUGUAGAGAUUAAUUUAUCUGAAAUUGGUGGACAUAAAGGGACAGGAAUUUUAUUCUUAUUAAAAAUGUAAACCUAGAAACUACUUGUAUGUAUAUGUGUAUGUGCUAAUUCUAUGCUUGUAGUAGUUCUAGGUUCCAGGACAACGAGGCAUGGUAGACGGCGGUGGGCGGAUGCUUGUUUUCUUGGUUUUACCAUUCCUCACGAUGAGAACAGUGUCCAUUCCCCAGCUACUAUGCCUCUCCAAAUGGCAAUGCAUAAACCAUACUCCUGAAAAUAUUGUAAUUAGUUAAAACUUUGGUCGUAAGAAAGAUGAGCUGCUUUUUAUUUAAACAAUUUUCUAAUUGAAAAACUUACCGGGAUUGGUAGCAAAAAAUCUGAUGGCAACCCACCUUCUACCAGGAACAUGGACAGUGUUAAUGAGUGGUGGAUCAACCAGAUUAUAAGUGCUUGGGUCUGUCUUAUUGUUGAAAUUUCCGAAACCUGUUCCCACCCAAUAGAAGCUGAAACCGUGCAAAUGGAUUGGGUGACUUCCACCAGCCCCCAUCUGGGUUGCUUGCAGCACCAUCUCAACUCCUUCCCCAUAAUUUACCACUAUAACCCUCGUCCCUUCCUCAACAGGGGUAUUGAGAUUAGUCAAGUUUCCAGUGAAAUCAUAGAUUACCGGGGGAUUCAAUGGAAAAUCUUCGGUGUAAACACCACUCAUGUUCCUGCAAUUUUACCAAAACUUUUAAAAAUUAGGCAGCUACAGUAGUGAAAUCAUGAUUUAAGAAUUGCUAUAACCAUGGAUAUAUAUAAUAUACCUGUUGUAGUAUGCUUGGAGAAUGUCAAUACUUGGGGAAACAUAGCUCACAUUGUUCAAACUUGCAACAAGUCUGGUGCCUACAACACAGUUGCUGCAAGGCAAGUUGUUUACCGCGAGUGCAAUGAACACUCGUCUUUUAAUAUCCUUGUCUGCCGGCACAUUUAUCCGCGGAUUCUGGGAGACUUUCGUGUUCCGAAUUUGGUUAAGGAAGUUAAUCAUAGCAUCUGUAUCGUUCAUUACGGGCAAUGUUAUCAAGGAAGCAUUCAAUCCACCCUCACUGUUUGUAUAUUGAAAAAUGCCAGUAGUGAUGUUGUCAAUAGGUGCAGCAGAGGAAUCAGAGAAAGGCCUAAUAGCCAUGUAAUAUUGGCCAACGUUUCGAUUGGCAGAGACCAAAACAUCCAUGGUUUGGCCAGGGCUUAUCAAUAUAUAGUCCCUCGUAAACCUUCGAACAUAGGAGGCAUCUUGUGCGA